Molecule: unclassified non-coding RNA, 300 nt
Filed under: soil metagenome
Description: partial contains small subunit ribosomal RNA, internal transcribed spacer 1, and 5.8S ribosomal RNA
Source: RNAcentral
UUUCCGUAGGUGAACCUGCGGAAGGAUCAUUGUCGAGACCAAACGAAUAUUGAGCGAUUCAGAGAACCCGUGAAUAAAAGUGGCGGCAGUUGUUGUCACAGAAUAAUCGUCUUAUUCAUUGCCCCAUCUCUUUUGGGAAGGGGGAAUGAUGAAGGGCGUAUGAAAAAACUCAAACCGGCGCAGUUUCGCGCCAAAAGAAUAUAACAAAUACACAAGCCCGUGAUUGGACUUAGUGGCAUGGAGUGCUGAUGCACACCAUAUGGAUUAACAUGACUCUCGGCAAUGGAUAUCUCGGCUCUC